GGUCAAGUGAAUAAGCGCAUACGGUGGAUGCCUAGGCAGUGAGAGGCGAUGAAGGACGUUGUAGCAUGCGAUAAGUCUCGGGGAGUUUGCAAACUAACUUUGAUCCGAGAAUUUCCGAAUGGGGAAACCCGGCUUGCAUCAGCAAGUCAUCUUGUAGUGAAUACAUAGCUACUUGAAGCGAACCUGGGGAACUGAAACAUCUAAGUACCCAGAGGAAAAGAAAUCAACCGAGAUUCCCUUAGUAGCGGCGAGCGAACGGGGAUUAGCCCUUAAGUUGUACAGUUGUUAGUGGAACAGUCUGGAAAGUCUGGCGAUACAGGGUGAUAGCCCCGUACACGAAAACGCUGUGCAGUGAAAUCGAGUAGGUCGGAGCACGUGAAACUUUGACUGAACAUGGGGGGACCAUCCUCCAAGGCUAAAUACUCCUUACUGACCGAUAGUGAACCAGUACCGUGAGGGAAAGGCGAAAAGAACCCCGGAGAGGGGAGUGAAAUAGAUCCUGAAACCGUAUGCGUACAAGCAGUGGGAGCAUACUUGUUAUGUGACUGCGUACCUUUUGUAUAAUGGGUCAGCGACUUAAUCUCAGUGGCAAGCUUAACCGAAUAGGGGAGGCGUAGCGAAAGCGAGUCUUAAUAGGGCGUUUAGUCGCUGGGAUUAGACCCGAAACCGGGCGAUCUAUCCAUGGCCAGGCUGAAGGUGGGGUAAUACUUACUGGAGGGCCGAACCCACUUAUGUUGAAAAAUGAGGGGAUGAGCUGUGGAUCGGAGUGAAAGGCUAAUCAAGCUCGGAGAUAGCUGGUUCUCCUCGAA
RNAcentral lists this ribosomal RNA (809 nucleotides) under Candidatus Methylobacter titanis. RNAcentral's name for it is "Bacterial large subunit ribosomal RNA". It matches the Rfam family "Bacterial large subunit ribosomal RNA", at positions 1 to 863 of the family's 2925-position model. The record is from Rfam by way of RNAcentral. Lineage: Bacteria; Pseudomonadati; Pseudomonadota; Gammaproteobacteria; Methylococcales; Methylococcaceae.